AAGGUGUUAGUAAAAUAUUACAAGGCCUUGUCGUGGCCUAAUUGCCGGUCAAAGCCCUGCACAUCUUGU
RNAcentral lists this transfer RNA (69 nucleotides) under Oedipina taylori (Taylor's worm salamander). Its description in RNAcentral is "tRNA-Asp". Lineage: Eukaryota; Metazoa; Chordata; Amphibia; Caudata; Plethodontidae. The record is from RNAcentral.